Corylus avellana is the source of this 1461-nucleotide RNA transcript. It is a transcript of the gene named serine/arginine-rich splicing factor SR30, with no coding region annotated. Lineage: Eukaryota; Viridiplantae; Streptophyta; Magnoliopsida; Fagales; Betulaceae. The record is from RefSeq and is a predicted model, not a curated record.
GUAUCGCUGUGUCUUCCAGAAGCUCCCAAAUCUUCCACACCAGACCCCCAUUUCUCAACUUCCUCCUGUCUCUCUUGAAAGGGGAAAAAUGAGUAGCCGCUCAAGCCGUACCAUCUAUGUUGGAAAUCUCCCUGGUGAUACUCGUAUGAAAGAAGUAGAAGAUCUGUUUUAUAAGUAUGGGCCUAUUGUUGACAUUGAUCUGAAGCUCCCACCAAGACCCCCAGGUUAUGCUUUUAUUGAGUUUGAAGACCCACGUGAUGCUGAAGAUGCAAUUUCUCACCGGGAUGGGUAUAACUUUGAUGGUUGUCGUUUGCGGGUUGAACUUGCACAUGGCGGGCGAGGAAUUUCAUCAUCAGUGGAUCGCUAUAGCAGUUAUAGUGGUGGUGGCAGUAGCCGUGGUAUUCCGAGGCAUUCUGAUUAUCGUGUUUUGGUCACUGGAUUACCUCCUUCUGCUUCAUGGCAAGACCUAAAGGAUUAUAUGCGUCAAGCUGGUGAUGUCCUUUUCUCUCAAGUAUUCCGUGAUCGUGGUGGCAUGGCAGGAAUUGUGGAUUAUGCACACUAUGAUGACAUGAAGUAUGCUAUCAAAAAACUCGAUGAUACUGCAUUUCGGAAUGCUUUUUCGCGGUCUUACAUACGAGUGAGGGAGUAUGAUUCAAAUGAUUCAAGAAGGAGCUACUCUAGAAGUCGCAGCCGUGAUUCCAGACGGAGCUAUUCAAAAAGCCCUAGUAGUGAUUUUAUGUCGAGAAGCCCAAGUCACAGCCGUAGCUAUAGUGGCAGGAGCAGAAGUAUAUCUCCAAAGAGAAAAUAUUCACAACGAUCUCCAUCAGUAUCUCAUUCGAGAUCUGGACUUUGCGGCGACCUGGGGACUGCAUGUUAGGAACUUGAUGGCAUGUGGUACUCUGACGCCUGCAACUCUUUUGGUUGUUGAGACUGGAUCAUUGUAGACGGAUGAGUUGCAAUUUAAAAGCUGGAUUUCCUGUGAACUGAGUGGCUAUUGGUACCACUCACAACAAUCCCACGGUGUAGAUGAUUCAAAACUUCUUCUCAACAUUAUUAUAACUUGCGGUUGGGAAUCUGGGGUGGAUGUCAUUCUCCUUUCAACUAGGAUUUUACAUUAUGACGCUGUAUUUGUUUUUUUCUUUAUCAGUCCAUUUGAGUUGUAAUGUGCUGCCGUGAUCAUGAGAAAAUUGGGUUAGUACUUUUAAUGUUGGUUGCUGCUAAAGACUUGGGGUACAUUUCAUUUCUUCGUUUUCUUCCUUUGGUUGUGGUAACUCUAAAUGGAACUGGCAUUGAGGCUUUUGCAUCAAAGUUUUGAAGGAUUGUUCUGGAUAUUGAAUUGGGUUGUUUGUGGACUUCUUGCAGAUCUCGAUCAAGAUCCAGAUCUCCAGUUACUUCGCCUCCUCGCCAUAAAAGUCGUCGAAGUCCCAGCAGGAGCAUUACAAGCCUAUCACAAUCCCGUUC